UCUCUCGUAGCUUAGUAGUGAAAGCGUUGGUGCAUAAAGUCAAAGGUCCCGGGUUCGAAUCCCGGCGAGGGUG
RNAcentral lists this transfer RNA (73 nucleotides) under Agrilus planipennis (emerald ash borer). It matches the Rfam family "tRNA". Rfam says of the family: Transfer RNA (tRNA) molecules are approximately 80 nucleotides in length. Their secondary structure includes four short double-helical elements and three loops (D, anti-codon, and T loops). The record is from Rfam by way of RNAcentral. Lineage: Eukaryota; Metazoa; Arthropoda; Insecta; Coleoptera; Buprestidae.